AUCUAGCCCCGAUAGAAGUGGAAAUCCUUUUAUGUCCGCUGGGGCGGACAUAAAAGAUUGUAACGGAUAGCGGGACUUGAC
This 81-nucleotide small RNA is filed under the name Flavobacterium resistens. Its description in RNAcentral is "Flavo-1 RNA". It matches the Rfam family "Flavo-1 RNA". The record is from RNAcentral. Lineage: Bacteria; Pseudomonadati; Bacteroidota; Flavobacteriia; Flavobacteriales; Flavobacteriaceae.